CCUACGGGAGGCAGCAGUGGGGAAUAUUGCACAAUGGGGGAAACCCUGAUGCAGCGACGCCGCGUGAGUGAAGAAGUGAUUCGGUGUGUAAAGCUCUGUCAGCAGGGAAGAAAAUGGCGGUACGUGAGCCGGAAGCCCUGGCUAACUACGGGCCAGCAGCCGCGGUAAUACGUAGGGGGCAAGUGUUAUCCGGAUUUACUGGGUGUAAAGGGAGCGUAGACGGCAGUGCAAGUCUGGAGUGAAAGGCGGGGGCUCAACCCCCGGACUGCUCUGGAAACUGUCCGGCUGGAGUACAGGAGAGGUAAGUGGAAUUCCUAGUGUAGCGGUGAAAUGCGUAGAUAUUAGGAGGAACACCAGUGGCGAAGGCGGCUUACUGGACUGUAACUGACGUUGAGGCUCGAAAGCGUGGGGAGCAAACAGGAUUAGAUACCCUUGUAGUC
RNAcentral lists this ribosomal RNA (440 nucleotides) under uncultured bacterium. RNAcentral's name for it is "partial 16S ribosomal RNA". It matches the Rfam family "Bacterial small subunit ribosomal RNA", at positions 338 to 795 of the family's 1533-position model. The record is from RNAcentral.